RNAcentral lists this ribosomal RNA (156 nucleotides) under Penicillium griseofulvum. RNAcentral describes it as "5.8S ribosomal RNA". It matches the Rfam family "5.8S ribosomal RNA". Rfam says of the family: 5.8S ribosomal RNA (5.8S rRNA) is a component of the large subunit of the eukaryotic ribosome. It is transcribed by RNA polymerase I as part of the 45S precursor that also contains 18S and 28S rRNA. Functionally, it is thought that 5.8S rRNA may be involved in ribosome translocation. The record is from RNAcentral. Lineage: Eukaryota; Fungi; Ascomycota; Eurotiomycetes; Eurotiales; Aspergillaceae.
AAACUUUCAACAACGGAUCUCUUGGUUCCGGCAUCGAUGAAGAACGCAGCGAAAUGCGGUAAUGUGAAUUGCAAAUUCAGUGCAUCGAGUCUUUGAACGCACAUUGCGCCCCCUGGUAUUCCGGGGGGCAUGCCUGUCCGAGCGUCAUUGCUGCCC